This 253-nucleotide ribosomal RNA is filed under the name uncultured bacterium. Its description in RNAcentral is "partial 16S ribosomal RNA". It matches the Rfam family "Bacterial small subunit ribosomal RNA", at positions 524 to 776 of the family's 1533-position model. The record is from RNAcentral.
UACGUAGGGUGCAAGCGUUAAUCGGAAUUACUGGGCGUAAAGCGUGCGCAGGCGGUUAUGUAAGACAGAUGUGAAAUGCCCGGGCUUAACCUGGGAACUGCAUUUGUGACUGCAUGGCUAGAGUUUGGCAGAGGGGGGUAGAAUUCCACGUGUAGCAGUGAAAUGCGUAGAUAUGUGGAGGAACACCGAUGGCGAAGGCAGCCCCCUGGGUCAAGACUGACACUCAUGCACGAAAGCGUGGGGAGCAAACAGG